Molecule: ribosomal RNA, 484 nt
Filed under: uncultured bacterium
Lineage: Bacteria
Description: bacterial SSU rRNA
Rfam family: Bacterial small subunit ribosomal RNA
Source: RNAcentral
CGGCGUGCUUAACACAUGCAAGUCGAACGGGGAGUUAAUGCGGAAGCCCUCGGGUGGAAGGAUAAUUCGAGUGGCGGACGGGUGAGUAACGCGUGAGCAACCUGUCCCAGACAGGGGAAUAACACUUGGAAACAGGUGCUAAUACCGCAUAAGACCACGGGGUCGCAUGGCUCUGGGGGUAAAAGGAGUAAUCCGGUUUGGGGUGGGCUCGCGUCCGAUUAGAUAGUUGGUGAGGUAACGGCCCACCAAGUCGACGAUCGGUAGCCGACCUGAGAGGGUGAUCGGCCACAUUGGAACUGAGAGACGGUCCAAACUCCUACGGGAGGCAGCAGUGGGGAAUAUUGGGCAAUGGGCGAAAGCCUGAACCCCCAGCAACGCCGCGUGAGUGAAGAAGGCUUUCGGGUUGUAAAGCUCUGUUAUGAGGGACGAAGGAAGUGACGGUACCUCAUAAGGAAGCCCCGGCUAACUACGUGCCAGCCGCUGC